GCAGCGACCCCGCGUGAGGGAUGACGCCUUCGGGUUGUAAACCUCUUCAGCAGGGAAGAAGCGCAAGUGACGGUACCUGCAGAGAAGCGCCGGCUAACUACGUGCCAGCAGCCGCGGUAAUACGUAGGGCGCAAGCGUUGUCCGGGAAUUAUUGGGCGUAAAGAGCUCGUAGGCGGUCUGUCGCGUCUGGUGUGAAAUCCCGAGGCUCAACCUCGGGCUUGCAUCGGGUACGGGCAGACUAGAGUGCGGUAGGGGAGACUGGAAUUCCUGGUGUAGCGGUGGAAUGCGCAGAUAUCAGGAGGAACACCGAUGGCGAAGGCAGGUCUCUGGGCCGCAACUGACGCUGAGGAGCGAAAGCAUGGGGAGCGAACAGGAUUAGAUACCCUGGUAGUCCAUGCCGUAAACGUUGGGCACUAGGUGUGGGGCUCAUUCCACGAGUUCCGUGCCGCAGCUAACGCAUUAAGUGCCCCGCCUGGGGAGUACGGCCGCAAGGCUAAAACUCAAAGGAAUUGACGGGGGCCCGCACAAGCGGCGGAGCAUGCGGAUUAAUUCGAUGCAACGCGAAGAACCUUACCAAGGCUUGACAUGCACCGGAAACACUCAGAGAUGGGUGCCCCGUAAGGUCGGUGCACAGGUGGUGCAUGGUUGUCGUCAGCUCGUGUCGUGAGAUGUUGGGUUAAGUCCCGCAACGAGCGCAACCCUCGUCCUAUGUUGCCAGCGGGUUAUGCCGGGGACUCAUGGGAGACUGCCGGGGUCAACUCGGAGGAAGGUGGGGAUGACGUCAAAUCAUCAUGCCCCUUAUGUCUUGGGCUUCACGCAUGCUACAAUGGCCGGUACAGAGGGCUGCGAUACCGUAAGGUGGAGCGAAUCCCAAAAAGCCGGUCUCAGUUCGGAUUGGGGUCUGCAACUCGACCCCAUGAAGUCGGAGUCGCUAGUAAUCGCAGAUCAGCAACGCUGCGGUGAAUACGUUCCCGGGCCUUGUACACACCGCCCGUCAAGUCACGAAAGUUGGUAACACCCGAAGCUCAUGGCCCAACCGGUUUCCGGGGGGAGUGGUCGAAGGUGGACG
Molecule: ribosomal RNA, 1069 nt
Filed under: Isoptericola sp.
Lineage: Bacteria; Bacillati; Actinomycetota; Actinomycetes; Micrococcales; Promicromonosporaceae
Description: bacterial SSU rRNA
Rfam family: Bacterial small subunit ribosomal RNA
Source: RNAcentral